RNAcentral lists this ribosomal RNA (207 nucleotides) under uncultured bacterium. RNAcentral describes it as "partial 16S ribosomal RNA". It matches the Rfam family "Bacterial small subunit ribosomal RNA", at positions 568 to 774 of the family's 1533-position model. The record is from RNAcentral.
CUCGUAGGUGGCCAACUAAGUCAGACGUGAAAUCCCUCGGCUUAACCGGGGAACUGCGUCUGAUACUGGAUGGCUUGAGGUUGGGAGAGGGACGCGGAAUUCCAGGUGUAGCGGUGAAAUGCGUAGAUAUCUGGAGGAACACCGGUGGCGAAGGCGGCGUCCUGGACCAAUUCUGACACUGAGGAGCGAAAGCCAGGGGAGCAAACG